This 478-nucleotide ribosomal RNA is filed under the name uncultured bacterium. RNAcentral's name for it is "SSU rRNA". It matches the Rfam family "Bacterial small subunit ribosomal RNA", at positions 26 to 518 of the family's 1533-position model. The record is from RNAcentral.
AGGACGAACGCUGGCGGCGUGCUUAACACAUGCAAGUCGAGCGAGGCUCCUCCUUCGGGAGGAUGCCCUAGCGGCGAACGGGUGAGUAACACGUGGGCAACCUGCCCCUAGCACUGGGAUAACCCCGGGAAACCGGGGCUAAUACCGGAUACGACUUCGGAGGGCAUCCUCUGAAGUGGAAAAAUUUAUUGGCUAGGGAUGGGCCCGCGGCCUAUCAGCUUGUUGGUGGGGUAACGGCCUACCAAGGCGUCGACGGGUAGCCGGCCUGAGAGGGCGACCGGCCACACUGGGACUGAGACACGGCCCAGACUCCUACGGGAGGCAGCAGUGGGGAAUAUUGCACAAUGGGCGAAAGCCUGAUGCAGCGACGCCGCGUGAGGGAUGACUGCCUUCGGGUUGUAAACCUCUUUCAGCAGGGACGAAGCGAAAGUGACGGUACCUGCAGAAGAAGCACCGGCAACUACGUGCCAGCAGCCGC